Molecule: long non-coding RNA, 1117 nt
Filed under: Homo sapiens (human)
Lineage: Eukaryota; Metazoa; Chordata; Mammalia; Primates; Hominidae
Description: HSALNT0090605
Source: RNAcentral
GGAGGUAGAGCUUUUGGAAACAGAUGCUUCAGAAGAAUUGUAAUAUUAGGUACUAUCUGCCUUUAAGAAAAUAGAAGCAGCUGGUGUGGUGGCUCAUGCCUGUAAUCCCAGCACUUUGGGAGGCCAAGGUAGGUGGAUCACCUGAGGUUAGGAGUUCGAGACCAGCCCGGCCAACAUGGUGAAACACCGUCUCUACUAAAACUACAAAAAUUAGCUGGGUGUGGUGGCACACGCCUGUAAUCCUAGCUACUCAGGAGGCUGAGGCAGGAGAAUUACUUGAACCCGGGAGGUGGAGUUGCAGUGACCCGAGAUCAUGCCACUGCAUUCCAGCCUGGGAGACAGAGCGAGACUCUGUCCAAAAAAAAAGAAAAGAAAAGAAAAGAAAAUAGAAGCUAGGACCAGUUAUGGUGGCUCAUGCCUGUAAUCCUAGUGGUUUGGGAGGCCAAGGUGGGAGAACGGCUUGAGGCCAGGAAUUCCUGAUCAGCCUGAUCAAUGUAGUGAGACUCCAUCUCUACAAAAACAAAAACAACAACAACAAAAAAGUAGCUGGUCAUGGUAGUGACACGUAUCUGUCGUCCUAGCUACUCAGGAGGCUGAAAUGGGAGGAUUGCUUAAGCCCAGGAGUUUGAGGCUGCAGCUAGCUAUGAUUGAUUGCUCCACUGCAGUCCAGCCUGGUUGACAGAGCUGUAAAGAAAAGAAAAGAAAAGAAAAGAAAAGAAAAGAAAAGAAAAGAAAAGAAAAGAAAAGAAAAGAAAAGAAAAGAAAAGAAAAGAAAAGAAGAAAAGAAAAGAAAAGAGAAGAGAAGAGAAGAGAAGAGAAGAGAAAAGAAAAGAAAGGAAAGGAGAGAAAGAGAAAGAGAAAGAGAAAGGAAAUGUAAAAAGUAAAGUUGAGGUUCCUCUUCAAAGACUUUCCUCCCCAUCUAAUUAGGAAUAAAUAGUAACUUCUCUUAGAAGCAAAAUUUAUUCAAAGACUUGUGCUAAUAUUCUUAAAUAUCUGCUAGCUGUAAUAAAGAAAUCAAUGUACUUUAUGUUCUUACCUCCCACAAUUUAGCCUAAAUAUUUGCCCUAGCAUGCUUAUACUAGUCCAAGCAAGCAUUAGGUCAUAGCCUGUUCCUCUU